CCUACGGGUGGCAGCAGUGGGGAAUAUUGGACAAUGGGGGGAACCCUGAUCCAGCCAUGCCGCGUGUGUGAAGAAGGCCCUCGGGUUGUAAAGCACUUUCAGUGAGGAAGAACGCCUGGUGGUUAAUACCCAUCAGGAAAGACAUCACUCACAGAAGAAGCACCGGCUAACUCCGUGCCAGCAGCCGCGGUAAUACGGAGGGUGCGAGCGUUAAUCGGAAUUACUGGGCGUAAAGCGCGCGUAGGUGGCUUGAUAAGCCGGUUGUGAAAGCCCCGGGCUCAACCUGGGAACGGCAUCCGGAACUGUCAAGCUAGAGUGCAGGAGAGGAAGGUAGAAUUCCCGGUGUAGCGGUGAAAUGCGUAGAGAUCGGGAGGAAUACCAGUGGCGAAGGCGGCCCUCUGGACUGACACUGACACUGAGGUGCGAAAGCGUGGGUAGCAAACAGGAUUAGAUACCCGAGUAGUC
This 465-nucleotide ribosomal RNA is filed under the name Vreelandella stevensii. Its description in RNAcentral is "partial 16S ribosomal RNA". It matches the Rfam family "Bacterial small subunit ribosomal RNA", at positions 338 to 795 of the family's 1533-position model. The record is from RNAcentral. Lineage: Bacteria; Pseudomonadati; Pseudomonadota; Gammaproteobacteria; Oceanospirillales; Halomonadaceae.